CACGUGUGCAACCAACCCCGUACCGGGAGAUAACCCGCGGAAACGUGGACUAACACCCCAUAACACCUUUCCCCCGCAUGGGGGAGAGUUUAAAAUCACGAUGGUACAGGACGGGCACGCGCGACAUUAGGUAGUUGGCGGGGUAACGGCCCACCAAGCCGACGAUGUCUAGGGGUUCUGAGAGGAAGGUCCCCCACACUGGAACUGAGACACGGUCCAGACUCCUACGGGAGGCAGCAGUGAGGAAUAUUGGUCAAUGGGCGAGAGCCUGAACCAGCCAAGUCGCGUGAGGGAAGAAUGGUCUAUGGCCUGUAAACCUCUUUUGUCAAGGAAGAAUAAGCGGCACGAGUGCCACCUUGCCAGUACUUGACGAAUAAGCAUCGGCUAACUCCGUGCCAGCAGCCGCGGUAAUACGGGGGAUGCGAGCGUUAUCCGGAUUUAUUGGGUUUAAAGGGCGCGUAGGCGGGACGUCAAGUCAGCGGUAAAAGACUGCAGCUAAACUGUAGCACGCCGUUGAAACUGUCGACCUGGAGACGAGACGAGGGAGGCGGAACAAGUGAAGUAGCGGUGAAAUGCAUAGAUAUCACUUGGAACCCCGAUAGCGAAGGCAGCUUCCCAGGCUCGAUCUGACGCUGAUGCGCGAGAGCGUGGGUAGCGAACAGGAUUAGAUACCCUGGUAGUCCACGCCGUAAACGAUGCUCACUGGAUCUUGGCGAUACACGGCCAGGGUUCAAGCGAAAGUAUUAAGUGAGCCACCUGGGGAGUACGUCGGCAACGAUGAAACUCAAAGGAAUUGACGGGGGCCCGCACAAGCGGAGGAACAUGUGGUUUAAUUCGAUGAUACGCGAGGAACCUUACCCGGGUUUAAAUGCAGGUUGCAUGAGGUGGAAACACCUCUUUCCCUCGGGACUACCUGCAAGGUGCUGCAUGGUUGUCGUCAGCUCGUGCCGUGAGGUGUCGUGUUAAGUCCCAUAACGAGCGCAACCCCUAUCGCCAGUUGCCAUCGGUUCAAGCCGGGCACUCUGUCGAGACUGCCACCGUAAGGUGCGAGGAAGGCGGGGAUGACGUCAAAUCAGCACGGCCCUUACACCCGGGGCGACACACGUGUUACAAUGGCCGGUACAGAGGGCAGCCACGGGGCGACCCGGAGCGAAUCUCUAAAGCCGGUCGUAGUUCGGACUGGAGUCUGCAACCCGACUCCACGAAGUUGGAUUCGCUAGUAAUCGCGCAUCAGC
This 1235-nucleotide ribosomal RNA is filed under the name metagenome. Its description in RNAcentral is "bacterial SSU rRNA". It matches the Rfam family "Bacterial small subunit ribosomal RNA", at positions 114 to 1353 of the family's 1533-position model. The record is from RNAcentral.